RNAcentral lists this ribosomal RNA (467 nucleotides) under uncultured bacterium. Its description in RNAcentral is "partial 16S ribosomal RNA". It matches the Rfam family "Bacterial small subunit ribosomal RNA", at positions 28 to 507 of the family's 1533-position model. The record is from RNAcentral.
GAUGAACGCUGACAGAAUGCUUAACACAUGCAAGUCAACUUGAAUUUGGGUUUUUAACUUAGGUUUGGGUGGCGGACGGGUGAGUAACGCGUAAAGAACUUGCCUCACAGCUAGGGACAACAUUUGGAAACGAAUGCUAAUACCUAAUAUUAUGAUAAUAGGGCAUCCUAUAAUUAUGAAAGCUAUAAGCGCUGUGAGAGAGCUUUGCGUCCCAUUAGCUAGUUGGAGAGGUAACGGCUCACCAAGGCGAUGAUGGGUAGCCGGCCUGAGAGGGUGAUCGGCCACAAGGGGACUGAGACACGGCCCUUACUCAUACGGGAGGCAGGAGUGGGGAAUAUUGGACAAUGGACCGAGAGUCUGAUCCAGCAAUUCUGUGUGCACGAUGAAGUUUUUCGGAAUGUAAAGUGCUUUCAGUUGGGAAGAAACAAAUGACGGUACCAACAGAAGAAGAGACGGCUAAAUACGUG